RNAcentral lists this long non-coding RNA (751 nucleotides) under Fukomys damarensis (Damara mole-rat). RNAcentral's name for it is "lncRNA (ENSFDAG00000031912.1)". The record is from RNAcentral. Lineage: Eukaryota; Metazoa; Chordata; Mammalia; Rodentia; Bathyergidae.
AAUAUUCUUUUCUUUUUCUUUCUUUUUUUUUGGCAGUACUGGAGAUCGAACCCAGGACUUUGCACCUGCAAGGCAGGUGCGGUGCCACUGAACUAAAUCCCUGGCCCUAGCCUGGGCAUUUUUAAUGGGAAUGCAGUGUGGUCUUCAACACUUGAGGUGGGAGCCCGGGCAGGCAGCCCUGUUCUCAGUUCGGAGUGGGCUAACCGGCUGUGCAGACUAGCAGAUGCCAGAUGGACAGCCCAAUAAGUUUGGCUAAUUUCUCACAAGAGUGAAAAUGCCAAAACAGCGACAAGAAAUCACUGGAGAACGUCCUCACGAAGAAUGGCCAUCCUUGGACAUCUCAUGAGCCUUGUAGCAGAGAGUGAUGUAAGGCUGUUGGACAGAUAGAGGUGCCUUGUCAUAUGGAUUUCAGAACCAGUGUCUGGUACAUCUACUGCAUCCCGGGAUGCCUCAGUGUGCACAUGGGAAGAAGACUUCUCUGCCCUGUCAUUUGGAGACAGAAUACCACAAACACUGGAUAAUUUAUAACAAGAAGAAAUUUAUGGCUUACAGUUCUGGAAGGUGGAAAAUCCAAUGUCAAGUUUCUAGCAUCUGGUAAGAUCCUUUUUGCUGUAUCAAAGCAUGGCAGAAGGCAUCACACUGAGGAAGGGCAGAGAGAUGGGGAACCCACUUUCACAUAAUUACCCCUGCAGCAAUAGCAUUAGCUCAAGAGGUCAGAGCCCUUAUGGCCUAAACACUUCUUAAAGGCCCC